CUAGGAAUCUGCCUGGUAGUGGGGGAUAACGUUCGGAAACGGACGCUAAUACCGCAUACGUCCUACGGGAGAAAGCAGGGGACCUUCGGGCCUUGCGCUAUCAGAUGAGCCUAGGUCGGAUUAGCUAGUUGGUGGGGUAAUGGCUCACCAAGGCGACGAUCCGUAACUGGUCUGAGAGGGUGAUCAGUCACACUGGAACUGAGACACGGUCCAGACUCCUACGGGAGGCAGCAGUGGGGAAUAUUGGACAAUGGGCGAAAGCCUGAUCCAGCCAUGCCGCGUGUGUGAAGAAGGUCUUCGGAUUGUAAAGCACUUUAAGUUGGGAGGAAGGGUUGUAGAUUAAUACUCUGCAAUUUUGACGUUACCGACAGAAUAAGCACCGGCUAACUCUGUGCCAGCAGCCGCGGUAAUACAGAGGGUGCAAGCGUUAAUCGGAAUUACUGGGCGUAAAGCGCGCGUAGGUGGUUUGUUAAGUUGGAUGUGAAAUCCCCGGGCUCAACCUGGGAACUGCAUUCAAAACUGACUGACUAGAGUAUGGUAGAGGGUGGUGGAAUUUCCUGUGUAGCGGUGA
RNAcentral lists this ribosomal RNA (571 nucleotides) under uncultured bacterium. RNAcentral describes it as "bacterial SSU rRNA". It matches the Rfam family "Bacterial small subunit ribosomal RNA", at positions 117 to 684 of the family's 1533-position model. The record is from RNAcentral.